Molecule: long non-coding RNA, 334 nt
Organism: Sander lucioperca (pikeperch)
Lineage: Eukaryota; Metazoa; Chordata; Actinopteri; Perciformes; Percidae
Exons: 2
Source: RefSeq, a predicted model, not a curated record
ACUAAAAUCUAAUGAGCAUGUUCUGGGUUAUGUAACUCUCAGAAAUGUGAGGUUUUCAGGUAAAAAAUUCCAUGCACCACCACUCGUAUAUCCUGAACCACCACUUUUGAGUGAGUACGGUCUUUCGUAAACAAAUAGUUACAUUUUGGCACUGGCCUAGUCGUGGUCUAGGACACAUAAACAGCAAUAUAAUGAUUUCAGAUCUGGCUCUGUGUCAUUUCCUGUCUGCCUCUAUGGAGUAGUCAUUUAAAAAGCCCUACUAAUUCAGUCAAACCUUAAUUUAACUUAUCUUUCACACUCAGCUGAUGUGUCGGCAGGUCGCUCUGACACAUCU